AUUAACUAGCAGUAGCCAUGGCUAAACCAAUGAUUUAAUGAAUAAAUUCUUGGAAAACCAUUCUUAACUAGUGAAAUUUCAUGCAAGGUUGAUUGUAGUUGUUGCAGCGUUUGCAGACUGCAGAGGGUCCAUACUAAAGGCCUCUCUGUGUGUAAAAUUCUGCGGCAUCUAGUGCUUUCUCACGCUCACAUGAUAGGGAAUCCUUCAUAAAAUAA
RNAcentral lists this unclassified non-coding RNA (215 nucleotides) under Hevea brasiliensis (rubber tree). Lineage: Eukaryota; Viridiplantae; Streptophyta; Magnoliopsida; Malpighiales; Euphorbiaceae. The record is from RNAcentral.